RNAcentral lists this ribosomal RNA (551 nucleotides) under uncultured Glomeromycotina. RNAcentral describes it as "SSU rRNA". It matches the Rfam family "Eukaryotic small subunit ribosomal RNA", at positions 548 to 1098 of the family's 1831-position model. The record is from RNAcentral. Lineage: Eukaryota; Fungi; Glomeromycota.
UUGGAGGGCAAGUCUGGUGCCAGCAGCCGCGGUAAUUCCAGCUCCAAUAGCGUAUAUUAAAGUUGUUGCAGUUAAAAAGCUCGUAGUUGAAUUUCGGAAUCCAUCCGUCGGUCGGGCCUCACGGUCCGCACUGGUGUGAUGGAUUUCUACCUUCUGAAUAACCAGCAUGUCAUUAAUUUGGUGCGUUGGGGAAGCAGGACUGUUACCUUGAAAAAAUUAGAGUGCUUAAAGCAGGCUAGUGCCUGAAUACAUUAGCAUGGAAUAAUGAAAUAGGACGGCAUGGUUCUAUUUUGUUGGUUUCUAGGAUCACCGUAAUGAUUAAUAGGGAUAGUUGGGGGCAUUAGUACUCAAUUGUCAGAGGUGAAAUUCUUGGAUUUAUUGAAGACUAACUUCUGCGAAAGCAUUUGCCAAGGAUGUUUUCAUUAAUCAAGAACGAAAGUUAGGGGAUCGAAGACGAUCAGAUACCGUCGUAGUCUUAACCAUAAACUAUGCCGACUAGGGAUCGGACGAUGUUAAUUUUUUAAUGACUCGUUCGGCGCCUUACGGGAAAC